CAGUAACCAGCAGGUAGCCUAGUGGUUAGAGCGCUGGGCCAGUAACCAGCAGGUAGCCUAGUGGUUAGAGCGCUGGGCCAGUAACCAGCAGGUAGCCUAGUGGUUAGAGCGCUGGGCCAGUAACCAGCAGGUAGCCUAGUGGUUAGAGCGCUGGGCCAGUAACCAGCAGGUAGCCUAGUGGUUAGAGCGCUGGGCCAGUAACCAGCAGGUAGCCUAGUGGUUAGAGCGCUGGGCCAGUAACCAGCAGGUAGCCUAGUGGUUAGAGCGCUGGGCCAGUAACCAGCAGGUAGCCUAGUGGUUAGAGCGCUGGGCCAGUAACCAGCAGGUAGCCUAGUGGUUAGAGCGCUGGGCCAGUAACCAGCAGGUAGCCUAGUGGUUAGAGCGCUGGGCCAGUAACCAGCAGGUAGCCUAGUGGUUAGAGCGCUGGGCCAGUAACCAGCAGGUAGCCUCGUGGUUAGAGCGCUGGGCCAGUAACCAGCAGGUAGCCUCGUGGUUAGAGCGCUGGGCCAGUAACCAGCAGGUAGCCUAGUGGUUAGAGCGUUGGGCCAGUAACCAGCAGGUAGCCUAGUGGUUAGAGCGCUGGGCCAGUAACCAGCAGGUAGCCUAGUGGUUAGAGCGUUGGGCCAGUAACCAGCAGGUAGCCUAGUGGUU
Long non-coding RNA from Oncorhynchus keta (chum salmon), 651 nucleotides. RefSeq lists it as uncharacterized. NCBI's taxonomy places the organism in Eukaryota, Metazoa, Chordata, Actinopteri, Salmoniformes, Salmonidae. The transcript has 4 exons. The record is from RefSeq and is a predicted model, not a curated record.